AUUGAACGCUGGCGGCAGGCCUAACACAUGCAAGUCGAGCGGAUGAAGGGAGCUUGCUCCUGGAUUCAGCGGCGGACGGGUGAGUAAUGCCUAGGAAUCUGCCUGGUAGUGGGGGAUAACGUCCGGAAACGGGCGCUAAUACCGCAUACGUCCUGAGGGAGAAAGUGGGGGAUCUUCGGACCUCACGCUAUCAGAUGAGCCUAGGUCGGAUUAGCUAGUUGGUGGGGUAAAGGCCUACCAAGGCGACGAUCCGUAACUGGUCUGAGAGGAUGAUCAGUCACACUGGAACUGAGACACGGUCCAGACUCCUACGGGAGGCAGCAGUGGGGAAUAUUGGACAAUGGGCGAAAGCCUGAUCCAGCCAUGCCGCGUGUGUGAAGAAGGUCUUCGGAUUGUAAAGCACUUUAAGUUGGGAGGGAGGGCAGUAAGUUAAUACCUUGCUGUUUUGACGUUACCAACAGAAUAAGCACCGGCUAACUUCGU
This 483-nucleotide ribosomal RNA is filed under the name uncultured bacterium. RNAcentral's name for it is "partial 16S ribosomal RNA". It matches the Rfam family "Bacterial small subunit ribosomal RNA", at positions 30 to 506 of the family's 1533-position model. The record is from RNAcentral.